Molecule: ribosomal RNA, 253 nt
Filed under: uncultured bacterium
Lineage: Bacteria
Description: partial 16S ribosomal RNA
Rfam family: Bacterial small subunit ribosomal RNA
Source: RNAcentral
UACGUAGGGUGCGAGCGUUGUCCGGAAUUACUGGGCGUAAAGAGCUCGUAGGUGGUUUGUCACGUUGUUCGUGAAAACUCACAACUCAAUUGUGGGCGUGCGGGCGAUACGGGCAGACUGGAGUACUGCAGGGGAGACUGGAAUUCCUGGUGUAGCGGUGGAAUGCGCAGAUAUCAGGAGGAACACCGGUGGCGAAGGCGGGUCUCUGGGCAGUAACUGACGCUGAGGAGCGAAAGCGUGGGGAGCGAACAGG